UACUCCUACGGGGAGGCAGCAGUGGGGAAUAUUGCACAAUGGGGGAAACCCUGAUGCAGCCAUGCCGCCGUGUGUGAAGAAGGCCUUCGGGUUGUAAAGCACUUUCAGUAGGGAGGAACGGUAGUGUAGUUAACACCUGCAUUAUUUGACGUUACCUACAGAAGAAGCACCGGCUAACUCCGUGCCAGCAGCCGCGGUAAUACGGAGGGUGCGAGCGUUAAUCGGGAAAUUACCUGGGCGUAAAGCGCAUGCAAGGCGGCCUGUUAAGUCAGAUGUGAAAGCCCGGGGCUUAACCUCGGAAUUGCAUUUGAAACUGGCAGGCUAGAGUCUUGUAGAGGGGGGUAGGAAUUUCAGGUGUAGCGGUGAAAUGCGUAGAGAUCUGAAGGAAUACCAGUGGCGAAGGCGGCCCCCUGGACAAAGACUGACGCUCAGAUGCGAAAGCGUGGGGAGCCAAACAGGAUUAGAUACCCCUGGUAG
Molecule: ribosomal RNA, 477 nt
Filed under: uncultured bacterium
Lineage: Bacteria
Description: bacterial SSU rRNA
Rfam family: Bacterial small subunit ribosomal RNA
Source: RNAcentral